This 158-nucleotide ribosomal RNA is filed under the name uncultured bacterium. RNAcentral describes it as "partial 16S ribosomal RNA". It matches the Rfam family "Bacterial small subunit ribosomal RNA", at positions 355 to 509 of the family's 1533-position model. The record is from RNAcentral.
UGAGGAAUAUUGGUCAAUGGACGAGAGUCUGAACCAGCCAAGUAGCGUGCAGGAAGACGGCCCUAUGGGUUGUAAACUGCUUUUAUAAGGGAAAUAAAGUGAGUCUCGUGAGACUUUUUGCAUGUACCUUAUGAAUAAGCCCCGGCUAACUACGUGCC